AACGUAGGAGACAAACGUUAUCCGGAGUUACUGGGCGUAAAGGGCGUGUAGGCGGUCGACUAAGUCUGGCGUGAAAGCUCGCGGCUAAACCGCGAGAGGUCGUUGGAUACUGGUUGACUAGAGGACGGUAGAGGCGUGUGGAAUUCCGGGUGUAGUGGUGAAAUGCGUAGAGAUCCGGAGGAACACCAGUGGCGAAGGCGACACGCUGGGCCGUACCUGACACUAAAACGCGACAGCAUGGGGAGCGAACGGG
Molecule: ribosomal RNA, 253 nt
Filed under: uncultured bacterium
Lineage: Bacteria
Description: partial 16S ribosomal RNA
Rfam family: Bacterial small subunit ribosomal RNA
Source: RNAcentral